RNAcentral lists this ribosomal RNA (253 nucleotides) under uncultured bacterium. Its description in RNAcentral is "partial 16S ribosomal RNA". It matches the Rfam family "Bacterial small subunit ribosomal RNA", at positions 524 to 776 of the family's 1533-position model. The record is from RNAcentral.
GACGUAGGGGGCGAGCGUUGUCCGGAAUUACUGGGCGUAAAGGGCGCGUAGGCGGCCCGCUAAGUCGAACGUGAAAUCCCCGAGCUCAACUCGGGAACUGCGUCCGAUACUGGCGGGCUUGAAUCCGGGAGAGGGAUGCGGAAUUCCAGGUGUAGCGGUGAAAUGCGUAGAUAUCUGGAGGAACACCGGUGGCGAAGGCGGCAUCCUGGACCGGCAUUGACGCUGAGGCGCGAAAGCUAGGGGAGCAAACGGG